This 77-nucleotide small nuclear RNA is filed under the name Zootermopsis nevadensis. RNAcentral's name for it is "U4 spliceosomal RNA". It matches the Rfam family "U4 spliceosomal RNA", at positions 1 to 77 of the family's 138-position model. Rfam says of the family: U4 small nuclear RNA (U4 snRNA) is a component of the major U2-dependent spliceosome. The structure of U4 snRNA from yeast and human has been reported. U4 snRNA presents a k-turn RNA motif in the 5p-SL related to recognition of Snu13 protein. Lineage: Eukaryota; Metazoa; Arthropoda; Insecta; Blattodea; Termopsidae. The record is from Rfam by way of RNAcentral.
AGCUUUGCGCAUUGGCAGUAUCGUAAGCAGUGAGGUCUAUUCGAGGUGGGAUUAUUGCUAGUUGUAAUUUCAGCUCU